AUUUGUUGUUAUAAUGCACAGCUGUGCCCGAUCCUGUCCGAUCUCAGAAGCUAAGCAGAGUCCUGCCUGCUCAGUUCUUGGAUGGGAGACCACCUUGGAAGACCAGUGGGAUGCAUC
Molecule: ribosomal RNA, 117 nt
Filed under: Mastacembelus armatus (zig-zag eel)
Lineage: Eukaryota; Metazoa; Chordata; Actinopteri; Synbranchiformes; Mastacembelidae
Source: RNAcentral